Molecule: ribosomal RNA, 231 nt
Filed under: uncultured bacterium
Lineage: Bacteria
Description: partial 16S ribosomal RNA
Rfam family: Bacterial small subunit ribosomal RNA
Source: RNAcentral
CGGGACGGGUGAGUAAUGUCUGGGAAACUGCCUGAUGGAGGGGGGUAACUACUGGAAACGGUAGCUAAUACCGCAUAACGUCGCAAGACCAAAGAGGGGGACCUUCGGGCCUCUUGCCAUCGGAUGUGCCCAGAUGGGAUUAGCUGUAGGUGGGGUAACGGCUCACCUAGGCGACGAUCCCAGCUGGUCUGAGAGGAUGACCAGCCACACUGGAACUGAGACACGGUCCAG